GAUGAACGCUGGCGGCGUGCCUAAUACAUGCAAGUCGAGCGAACAGAUAAGGAGCUUGCUCCUUUGACGUUAGCGGCGGACGGGUGAGUAACACGUGGGUAACCUACCUAUAAGACUGGGAUAACUUCGGGAAACCGGAGCUAAUACCGGAUAACAUUUGGAACCGCAUGGUUCUAAAGUGAAAGAUGGUUUUGCUAUCACUUAUAGAUGGACCCGCGCCGUAUUAGCUAGUUGGUAAGGUAACGGCUUACCAAGGCGACGAUACGUAGCCGACCUGAGAGGGUGAUCGGCCACACGGGAACGGAGACACGGGCCAGACUCCUACGGGAGGCAGCAGAAGGGAAUCUUCCGCAAUGGGCGAAAGCCUGACGGAACAACGCCGCGUGAGUGAUGAAGGGUUUCGGCUCGUAAAACUCUGUUAUUAGGGAAGAACAAACGUGUAAGUAACUGUGCACGUCUUGACGGUACCUAAUCAGAAAGCCACGGCUAACUACGUG
RNAcentral lists this ribosomal RNA (497 nucleotides) under uncultured bacterium. RNAcentral's name for it is "partial 16S ribosomal RNA". It matches the Rfam family "Bacterial small subunit ribosomal RNA", at positions 28 to 507 of the family's 1533-position model. The record is from RNAcentral.